GACGAACGCUGGCGGCGUGCCUAAUACAUGCAAGUAGGACGCAGUUGCGAACGGGUGAGUAACGCGUAGGUAACUACCUAUUAGAGGGGGAUAACUAUUGGAAACGAUAGCUAAUACCGCAUACUAGUAGAUGGACCUGCGUUGUAUUAGCUAGUAGGUAGGGUAAUGGGCUACCUAGGCAACGAUACAUAGCCGACGUGAGAGGGGGGUUUUCCACACAGGGACUGAGACACGGCCCGGUCUCCUACGGGGAGGAGAAGUAGGGAAUCGUCGGCAAGGGGGGGAACCCUGGCCGAGCAACGCCGCGUGAGUGAAGAAGGUUUUCGGAUCGUAAAGCUCUGUUGUUAAGGAAGCGGUACUUAACCAGAAAGGGACGGCUAACUACGUGCCAGCAGCCGCGGUAAUAC
RNAcentral lists this ribosomal RNA (407 nucleotides) under uncultured bacterium. Its description in RNAcentral is "partial 16S ribosomal RNA". It matches the Rfam family "Bacterial small subunit ribosomal RNA", at positions 28 to 526 of the family's 1533-position model. The record is from RNAcentral.